Hermetia illucens (black soldier fly) is the source of this 623-nucleotide long non-coding RNA. RefSeq lists it as uncharacterized. NCBI's taxonomy places the organism in Eukaryota, Metazoa, Arthropoda, Insecta, Diptera, Stratiomyidae. The transcript is spliced from 3 exons. The record is from RefSeq and is a predicted model, not a curated record.
UUGAGAAAUACUUAAUUACAUAAAGUCAUGGAAAAGUAAUUAGGGAGUGUAAAUUGGCGUAACAUUCGAACGGGGUACUACAUGAAAUAAAAUGUAGAUAAAAACCUAUCAAAUUUCAAUGACAUUCAGGAUGCUAGCUAGCUGAUUAUGAAAAAGAACGAAAAACUCACAAACAAUAACGAUCAUUUGAUUCGUAAGAUCAUUGUGUUACAUGUAAGUGUCUAAGAUUACUUCAACCAACGCAUUGUACCAGGUAGCUAUGUGGGAGUGUGCACCAUCUGUCUAAACAAUUCAGAUUUUUUCCUUCCCUGCGUUACCAAGUGCUUUCCGGUCGACACAGUUGUGUGCUGAAGGUAGGGCGAAACGAUUGAUCUGUUCAACAAGGCCUCUGAAUACGUGAUGUGUUCCCUGAAUAGCGGGAUUUGUUCCCUAGAAAAUGGGAUGUAUUCCCGGUUUUCCUCAACGCAGAAGGGAUGUGUUCCCCUUAGUAUGUGUAGCGACUCGAACGACGUGAGGAACUCAACCCGGGCAGCCAACGCCUCCAUAAACAUUAUGAAUUAGUGUUCUUGUGUAAACGUGUCAUUUGUUGUCUUAAAAUUUAAUAAAGUCGAUCUAUUUGAAAA